GAUGCAACGCGAAGAACCUUACCAAGGCUUGACAUGAACCGGAAACGCCUGGAGACAGGUGCCCCGCUUGCGGUCGGUUUACAGGUGGUGCAUGGUUGUCGUCAGCUCGUGUCGUGAGAUGUUGGGUUAAGUCCCGCAACGAGCGCAACCCUCGUUCUAUGUUGCCAGCACGUGAUGGUGGGGACUCAUAGGAGACUGCCGGGGUCAACUCGGAGGAAGGUGGGGACGACGUCAAAUCAUCAUGCCCCUUAUGUCUUGGGCUUCACGCAUGCUACAAUGGCCGGUACAAAGGGUUGCGAUACUGUGAGGUGGAGCUAAUCCCAAAAAGCCGGUCUCAGUUCGGAUUGGGGUCUGCAACUCGACCCCAUGAAGUCGGAGUCGCUAGUAAUCGCAGAUCAGCAACGCUGCGGUGAAUACGUUCCCGGGCCUUGUACACACCGCCCGUCAAGUCACGAAAGUUGGUAACACCCGAAGCCGGUGGCCUAACCCCUUGUGGGAGGGAGCUGUCGAAGGUGGGACUG
Molecule: ribosomal RNA, 521 nt
Filed under: uncultured bacterium
Lineage: Bacteria
Description: bacterial SSU rRNA
Rfam family: Bacterial small subunit ribosomal RNA
Source: RNAcentral